AUUGAACGCUAGCGGGAUGCUUUACACAUGCAAGUCGAACGAGUGGCGGACGGGUGAGUCAUAUAUCGGAACGUGCCCAGUAGCGGGGGAUAACUACUCGAAAGAGUGGUUAAUCCCGCAUACCAUCGGAGCGGCCGAUACCGGAUUAGAUAGUUGGUGGGGUAAAGGCUCACCAAGGCCACGGGCCGUAGCUGGUUUGAGGGGACGACCAGCAACACGGGGACUGAGAAACGGCCCAGACUCCUAGGGGAGGCAGCAGUGGGGAAUUUUGGACAAUGGGGGAAACCCUGAUCCAGCCAUCCCGCGUGUAUGAGAAGGCCUUCGGGUUGUAAAGUACUUUUGGCAGAGAAGCGGAAUCUGCAGAAUAAGCACCGGCUAACUACGUGCCAGCAGCCGCGGAAUAC
RNAcentral lists this ribosomal RNA (404 nucleotides) under uncultured bacterium. RNAcentral describes it as "partial 16S ribosomal RNA". It matches the Rfam family "Bacterial small subunit ribosomal RNA", at positions 30 to 526 of the family's 1533-position model. The record is from RNAcentral.